RNAcentral lists this ribosomal RNA (480 nucleotides) under uncultured bacterium. RNAcentral describes it as "bacterial SSU rRNA". It matches the Rfam family "Bacterial small subunit ribosomal RNA", at positions 64 to 524 of the family's 1533-position model. The record is from RNAcentral.
GAGCGAACCGAUUAAUAGCUUGCUCUUAAUAAGUUAGCGGCGGACGGGUGAGUAACACGUAGGUAACCUGCCUAUAAGACUGGGAUAACUCCGGGAAACCGGGGCUAAUACCGGAUAACAUUUUGCACCGCAUGGUGCGAAAUUGAAAGGCGGCUUCGGCUGUCACUUAUAUAUGGACCUGCGGCGCAUUAGCUAGUUGGUGAGGUAACGGCUCACCAAGGCGACGAUGCGUAGCCGACCUGAGAGGGUGAUCGGCCACACUGGGACUGAGACACGGCCCAUACUCCUACGGGAGGCAGCAGUAGGGAAUCUUCCGCAAUGGACGAAAGUCUGACGGAGCAACGCCGCGUGAGCGAUGAAGGCCUUCGGGUCGUAAAGCUCUGUUGUUAGGGAAGAACAAGUGCUAGUUGAAUAAGCUGGCACCUUGACGGUACCUAACCAGAAAGCCACGGCUAACUACGUGCCAGCAGCCGCGGUAAU